This 27-nucleotide non-coding RNA is filed under the name Mus musculus (house mouse). Lineage: Eukaryota; Metazoa; Chordata; Mammalia; Rodentia; Muridae. The record is from RNAcentral.
UGCUUGGCUUACUUUUGAUUUGUGUGA